This 305-nucleotide ribosomal RNA is filed under the name uncultured bacterium. Its description in RNAcentral is "bacterial SSU rRNA". It matches the Rfam family "Bacterial small subunit ribosomal RNA", at positions 333 to 635 of the family's 1533-position model. The record is from RNAcentral.
UCGUUCCUACGGGACGCAGCAGUGAGGAAUAUUGGUCAAUGGCCGAGAGGCUGAACCAGCCAAGUCGCGUGAGGGAUGACGGCCCUACGGGUUGUAAACCUCUUUUGUCGGGGAGCAAAGAGAGUCACGUGUGGCUCAUUGAGAGUACCCGAAGAAAAAGCAUCGGCUAACUCCAUGCCAGCAGCCGCGGUAAUACGGAGGAUGCGAGCGUUAUCCGGAUUUAUUGGGUUUAAAGGGAGCGUAGGCCGGCUUUUAAGUCAGCUGUGAAAGUCCGCGGCUCAACCGUGGAAUUGCAGUUGAAACUG